Molecule: non-coding RNA, 24 nt
Filed under: Arabidopsis thaliana (thale cress)
Lineage: Eukaryota; Viridiplantae; Streptophyta; Magnoliopsida; Brassicales; Brassicaceae
Source: RNAcentral
AUUUUCAGUUUCCAAUUACAUGUU